CCAGACUCCUACGGGAGGCAGCAGUGGGGAAUAUUGCACAAUGGGGGGAACCCUGAUGCAGCGACGCCGCGUGGGUGAAGGAGCACCUCGGUGCGUAAAGCCCUAUCGGCAGGGAAGAAAAGCGAACAGGUUCGCCUGGACGGUACCUGACUAAGAAGCCCCGGCUAACUACGUGCCAGCAGCCGCGGUAAUACGUAGGGGGCAAGCGUUAUCCGGAUUCACUGGGUGUAAAGGGAGCGUAGACGGCGACGCAAGUCUGGAGUGAAAGCCCGGGGCCCAACCCCGGGACUGCUCUGGAAACUGCGUCGCUGGAGUACGGGAGGGGCAGGCGGAAUUCCUGGUGUAGCGGUGAAAUGCGUAGAUAUCAGGAGGAACACCGGCGGCGAAGGCGGCCUGCUGGACCGUGACUGACGUUGAGGCUCGAGAGCGUGGGGAGCAAACAGGAUUAGAUACCCCAGUA
RNAcentral lists this ribosomal RNA (460 nucleotides) under uncultured bacterium. RNAcentral describes it as "bacterial SSU rRNA". It matches the Rfam family "Bacterial small subunit ribosomal RNA", at positions 331 to 792 of the family's 1533-position model. The record is from RNAcentral.